Molecule: ribosomal RNA, 253 nt
Filed under: uncultured bacterium
Lineage: Bacteria
Description: partial 16S ribosomal RNA
Rfam family: Bacterial small subunit ribosomal RNA
Source: RNAcentral
UACGUAGGUGGCAAGCGUUAUCCGGAAUUAUUGGGCGUAAAGAGCUCGUAGGCGGUUUGUCGCGUCUGCUGUGAAAACCCGGGGCUUAACCCCGGGCCUGCAGUGGGUACGGGCAGACUAGAGUGCGGUAGGGGAGACUGGAAUUCCUGGUGUAGCGGUGAAAUGCGCAGAUAUCAGGAAGAACACCUAUGGCGAAGGCAGCUCUCUGGGACGGUACUGACGCUGAGACGCGAAAGCGUGGGGAGCGAACAGG